Molecule: ribosomal RNA, 443 nt
Filed under: uncultured bacterium
Lineage: Bacteria
Description: bacterial SSU rRNA
Rfam family: Bacterial small subunit ribosomal RNA
Source: RNAcentral
ACGAACGCUGGCGGCAGGCUUAACACAUGCAAGUCGAGCGCAAUACUAUCUUCGGAUAGUGGAGAGUGGUGGACGGGUGAGUAACGCGUGGGAACCUAUUUUUUGGUUUGGAAUAACUUUGGGAAACCGAAGCUAAUAUUGGAUACGCCCCGUAAGGGGGAAAGAUUUAUUGCCGAAGGAUGGGCCCGCGUUGGAUUAGGUAGUUGGUAGGGUAAUGGCCUAUCAAGCCUACGAUCCAUAGCUGUUCUGAGAGGAAGAUCAGCCACACUGGGACUGAGACACGGCCUAGACUCCUAUGGGAGGUAGCAGUGGGGAAUCUUGGACAAUGGGGGAAAUUUUGAUCCAGCCAUGCCGCGUGAAUGAAGAAGGCCUUAGGGUUGUAAAGUUCUUUUAGUGGGGAAGAUAAUGACGGUACCCACAGAAAAAGCCCCGGCUAACUCCGU